CAAAGUGCUCACAGUGCAGGUAGUGUUGCCAGAUCUACUGCAGUAUGGGCACUUCUAGU
Molecule: microRNA precursor, 59 nt
Filed under: Lepisosteus oculatus (spotted gar)
Lineage: Eukaryota; Metazoa; Chordata; Actinopteri; Semionotiformes; Lepisosteidae
Description: Loc-Mir-17-P4c_pre stem-loop
Rfam family: mir-17 microRNA precursor family
About the family: This family represents the microRNA (miRNA) precursor mir-17, family, which includes mir-20, mir-91, and mir-103. miRNAs are transcribed as ~70nt precursors (modelled here) and subsequently processed by the Dicer enzyme to give a ~22nt product. In this case the mature sequence comes from the 3' arm of the precursor.
Source: RNAcentral